AACCUGGCAGAACGACCCGUGAACCGUUGAAAAUCGCCACGGGCGACGGGCCUCUCGGUCGGUCGCCUGACGGCUGUUGAGAGCGGACUGUGGGCGACCCCAGUACCUCUCCGCGGCCACAGAGAACGAACCCCGGCGUGAAUUGCGCCAAGGAAUCGAAAAAACAGACGAGCGCUCCCCUCGUCCCGAAAGCGGUGCGACGGAGGGAUGCGCGRUCGUCGAUAUCGCAUGGAAACGACUCUCGGCAACGGAUAUCUCGGCUCUCGCAUCGAUGAAGAACGUAGCGAAAUGCGAUACUUGGUGUGAAUUGCAGRAUCCCGUGAACCAUCGAGUUUUUGAACGCGAGUUGCGCCCAAAGCCGUCAGGCAGAGGGCACGCCUGCCUGGGUGUCACGCAAUGUCGCCAAGUGCCCCCUCUCCCCGUCACGGGAAGAGAAAACGAGGGACGGCGGAUGUUGGCCUCCCGUGCGCUCCCCGCUCGCGGUUGGCCGAAAUAACAGCCCCCUGUCGAUGGGCAGCCACGGCACACGGUGGUUGGCAGCAAUCGAGCUCGAACCCCGUCGUGGGCGAACCUCGACGAGGGGUGCCAAAAGACCCCG
Molecule: ribosomal RNA, 598 nt
Filed under: Siphonodon membranaceus
Lineage: Eukaryota; Viridiplantae; Streptophyta; Magnoliopsida; Celastrales; Celastraceae
Description: eukaryotic LSU rRNA
Rfam family: 5.8S ribosomal RNA (bases 237-392)
Source: RNAcentral